This 256-nucleotide ribosomal RNA is filed under the name uncultured bacterium. RNAcentral's name for it is "partial 16S ribosomal RNA". It matches the Rfam family "Bacterial small subunit ribosomal RNA", at positions 524 to 776 of the family's 1533-position model. The record is from RNAcentral.
UACGGGGGGGGGCAAGCGUUGUUCGGAAUUACUGGGCGUAAAGGGCGCGUAGGCGGUCGUGACAAGUCACUUGUGAAAUCUCCGGGCUUAACUCGGAACGGUCAGCUGAUACUGCUUUGCUAGAGUGCAGAAGGGGCAAUCGGAAUUCUUGGUGUAGCGGUGAAAUGCGUAGAUAUCAAGAGGAACACCUGAGGUGAAGACGGGUUGCUGGGCCGACACUGACGCUGACAGCGCGAAAGCCAGGGGAGCAAACGGG